AACGUAGGACACAAGCGUUAUCCGGAGUUACUGGGCGUAAAGGGCGCGUAGGCGGCAAUUCAAGUCAGUUGUGAAAUCUCCGAGCUUAACUCGGAACGGUCAACUGAUACUGUUUUGCUAGAGUACAGAAGGGGCAAUCGGAAUUCUUGGUGUAGCGGUGAAAUGCGUAGAUAUCAAGAGGAACACCUGAGGUGAAGACGGGUUGCUGGGCUGAUACUGACGCUGAGGCGCGAAAGCUAGGGUAGCAAACGGG
This 253-nucleotide ribosomal RNA is filed under the name uncultured bacterium. RNAcentral's name for it is "partial 16S ribosomal RNA". It matches the Rfam family "Bacterial small subunit ribosomal RNA", at positions 524 to 776 of the family's 1533-position model. The record is from RNAcentral.